Molecule: long non-coding RNA, 705 nt
Organism: Callorhinchus milii (elephant shark)
Lineage: Eukaryota; Metazoa; Chordata; Chondrichthyes; Chimaeriformes; Callorhinchidae
Exons: 3
Source: RefSeq, a predicted model, not a curated record
GUGCUGUGUGUGCGCUGGGCUGGGCUGGUGGUGUUUUCAGGAAAUACUGUACAGAGCUUUCCACUGAGAGAGAGCGCGGGGGGAGCUGAGAGAGACUGAGACGGGCUGAGAGACGAGGACAGGAGCUCUGCUCUGUCUGUCUUGUCUGCAUCUCUCGCUCUCUCUGCAAUCGCCUGGGAGUGGACUAACAGCUGCCUUUUGCAAACGCAUCGUCUCUUUUAUUUAUUUCCCCAUUUAAUCGGCGUUACAGUCUGUGCUGUAAGAUUUUAUGGUUCUAUAUAAUCCCCGCGGACCUAUUUUCCCAGUUCCUCACAGUGUGUGUGUGUGUGUGUGCAUAGCCUUGUAUUUUAUCUUAUUCCUGUCCCCCUGUCUGUAAGCAGGGAUGCUUUUCCCCCUCCCCACCCCUUCUUUCUCGCCCUGUUUAAUGCUCCUCUGAAAUACUCCUCUCUCCCACACCCUCCCCCAGUUUGUUGUUGUUAUUCCCCCCAAAACAUGGAUUUAAUCCUGCAGAAACUGUCCAGAGACGCCACUGGUAACAGGUACAAACCCAUCAGAGACGCCUGCAACUCAGCAUAUGCGUUGCUGGAAACAGAAAAUGAAGCUGAGAGAUUGCCACCUCACCGACUCAGAGAGCAAUGUCUCGCUCCUCUCAAACUGGCUCUGGAAUCCAAGAACGUGAAGUUGGCUCAACACGCACUGACUGGC